CCUANGGGUGGCAGCAGUCGGGAAUUUUGGGCAAUGGGCGAAAGCCUGACCCAGCAACGCCGCGUGAAGGAUGAAAUCCCUCGGGAUGUAAACUUCGCAAGAACGGGAAGAAUAAGUAGGGGACAAUACCCCCUAUGAUGACGGUACCGUUUGUAAGCUCCGGCUAACUCCGUGCCAGCAGCCGCGGUAAUACGGGGGGAGCAAGCGUUGUUCGGAUUUACUGGGCGUAAAGAGUUCGUAGGCGGUCGGGAUUAAUUAGAUGUGAAAGCCUCCGGCUUACCCGGAGAAUGGCAUCUAAUAUUACCCGACUUGAGUGUGAAAGAGGAGAGUGGAAUUGUAGGUGGAGCGGUGAAAUGCGUAGAUAUCUACAGGAACACCGGAGGCGAAGGCGACUCUCUGGUUCACAACUGACGCUGAGGAACGAAAGCUAGGGGAUCAAACAGGAUUAGAUACCCGUNUAGUC
This 463-nucleotide ribosomal RNA is filed under the name uncultured bacterium. RNAcentral's name for it is "bacterial SSU rRNA". It matches the Rfam family "Bacterial small subunit ribosomal RNA", at positions 338 to 795 of the family's 1533-position model. The record is from RNAcentral.